RNAcentral lists this ribosomal RNA (253 nucleotides) under uncultured bacterium. Its description in RNAcentral is "partial 16S ribosomal RNA". It matches the Rfam family "Bacterial small subunit ribosomal RNA", at positions 524 to 776 of the family's 1533-position model. The record is from RNAcentral.
UACGUAGGGUGCGAGCGUUAAUCGGAAUUACUGGGCGUAAAGCGUGCGCAGGCGGUUAUGUAAGACAGAUGUGAAAUGCCCGGGCUUAACCUGGGAACUGCAUUUGUGACUGCAUGGCUAGAGCGUGUCAGAGGGGGGUAGAAUUCCACGUGUAGCAGUGAAAUGCGUAGAUAUGUGGAGGAAUACCGAUGGCGAAGGCAGCCCCCUGGGAUAACACUGACGCUCAUGCACGAAAGCGUGGGGAGCAAACAGG